Molecule: ribosomal RNA, 253 nt
Filed under: uncultured bacterium
Lineage: Bacteria
Description: partial 16S ribosomal RNA
Rfam family: Bacterial small subunit ribosomal RNA
Source: RNAcentral
UACAGAGGUCUCAAGCGUUGUUCGGAUUCAUUGGGCGUAAAGGGUGCGUAGGCGGCGGGGUAAGUCGGAUGUGAAAUCCUGGGGCUCAACCUCAGAACUGCAUUCGAUACUGCCCUGCUCGAGUACUGGAGAGGAGACUGGAAUUUACGGUGUAGCAGUGAAAUGCGUAGAUAUCGUAAGGAAGACCAGUGGCGAAGGCGAGUCUCUGGACAGUUACUGACGCUGAGGCACGAAGGCCAGGGGAGCAAACGGG